This 208-nucleotide long non-coding RNA is filed under the name Vitis vinifera (wine grape). RNAcentral's name for it is "long non-coding RNA (VVIN_LNC007215)". The record is from RNAcentral. Lineage: Eukaryota; Viridiplantae; Streptophyta; Magnoliopsida; Vitales; Vitaceae.
UUGGUUUCCAAACUCUGAUGAUCUCCUAUGGAUGGUGUAUUACUGAAUAAUGAAGACGGCAGAUAUAGAGUUCGGGACCAUGAGAAAUAUAUAACCGUGGCCUCCCAUCAUACCACGUUUCUGCAGAUUUGCCACACCUUCCUUAAACGCAGCGGAAAAGUAGGAUCAUGGUGGAGGACGUGGGUGCUGGACCACUUCAGGAUCACCC